GAAAGUGGGGGCCAGCUGGCAGCAGCCCCUGAUCGCUGGGGUUGAUUCCACUGACCUGGCUGGUGAGGCGGGGGUCCCCUUCUACCCUCACCGCUCCACGCGUGUCCCCCCUGAAUCUGGGCGCUUGGCCGGAGAUGACAACCUUCCCCAGUAGAGGAGAAUUCUUCUUUGGUCUUAAUUUUUAAAAAAAGAAAGAAGAGAGAAUUCUAAUUUGGCAUUUUUAUUUUUAAACAGCUCUAUUUCAAAUUUAAAAUGAUCCAAAUAUAGCCUUUAAUAGUACAGAGCAGAAUUUCUUU
Non-coding RNA from Sus scrofa (pig), 296 nucleotides. The record is from Rfam. Lineage: Eukaryota; Metazoa; Chordata; Mammalia; Artiodactyla; Suidae.